This is a ribosomal RNA of Melipona quadrifasciata, 491 nucleotides long. It matches the Rfam family "Eukaryotic small subunit ribosomal RNA", at positions 1165 to 1655 of the family's 1831-position model. The record is from Rfam. Lineage: Eukaryota; Metazoa; Arthropoda; Insecta; Hymenoptera; Apidae.
CAAAACUAUAAAAAUCUAUAGUUUAAUACUAUAAAACGUAUAGAUCUACCGGAAGGAUUGACAGAUUGAUAGCUCUUUCUUGAUUCGGUGGGUGGUGGUGCAUGGCCGUUCUUAGUUGGUGGAGCGAUUUGUCUGGUUAAUUCCGAUAACGAACGAGACUCUAGCCUGCUAAAUAGACGUGACUUAUGGUAUCUCGAAGGCCCCCGGCUUCGGUCGGUGGGUUUUUACUACCAACGUACAGGCAAAUCUUCUUAGAGGAACAGGCGGCUUCUAGCCGCACGGGAUUGAGCAAUAACAGGUCUGUGAUGCCCUUAGAUGUUCUGGGCCGCAGGCGCGCUACACUGAAGGAAUCAGCGUGUUUUCCCUGGCCGAAAGGCCCGGGUAACCCGCUGAACCUCCUUCGUGCUAGGGAUUGGGGCUUGCAAUUAUUCCCCAUGAACGAGGAAUUCCCAGUAAGCGCGAGUCAUAAGCUCGCGUUGAUUACGUCCCUG